AUCGCUUCUCGGCCUAAUGGCUAAGAUCAAAAGUGUAGUAUCUGUUCUUAUCAGCUUAACAUCUGAUAAAUCACUUAUUAAGUGAUUCAAAUGUUAAACAAUUUUUUUAAUAUUGGUGGAGAUUAGGAGCUUGCUCCUGCUCCACCGCGGGUUGGCCCGGAGUUGCAGUACUUCCGGGAUCAGCCCACAUAAU
This is a small nuclear RNA of Metopolophium dirhodum (rose-grain aphid), 193 nucleotides long. RefSeq annotates it as U2 spliceosomal RNA. The transcript has a single exon. The record is from RefSeq and is a predicted model, not a curated record. Lineage: Eukaryota; Metazoa; Arthropoda; Insecta; Hemiptera; Aphididae.